CGCGGGGGUGGCCGUGUGGUGUGGUGGCGCGCAGGCCACAUGGGAUGGAAUGAUGAGGUACGACCCCAGCGCCGCCCGCCCAGCUCCGCCGCACCUUCGUCCUGCCUUCUGGGACUGACCCCCAGCUCUGGCCACAAGGACAGCGCCCCUCCCACCCCAGCUGCUCUGGCCCCGGCCCUAGAAGGAGCACAUUUUGAUUUAUCUGAAAUUGUCUGAGGUGCCAAGUCCAUUCUUCUAGCCCUGUGUAAUUUAUCUGCAUUCAUGCACAUUGCAGAGCUCACUGUAUUAGAACUCUGAGCACUGUGGUAGUUUAAUUUAACCAAGUGCUCCCAUAAUGAGAAGCCAUUCCUAGAACCCUCAGAAUGUUGCUGGCUCAUACCUUGAGGCCAAUAUCUCCGGCUCCGGAUCCACUCAAUUUCUCUCAGAAGGCUGCAAAAGAUCAAAAGUUGUCAAGAGGUCAUAUAUAUAGCAUGAAUAACCAGAAGCAUAUUUCUGUUUGGAACAUGAAACAGAAACUCACUGCAGGAUUCCAUGGAUUCCAUGGAUUGAUGAAUGAGAAGAUCCCAGGUGGAUCACCCUUAAAUCAACUGAUCUGUAUAAAUAGCCUACUGCCUCAAUCAUGACGUGAUGACAAGAGUCACUUGCCAAUAAAUGACCUGCUAGAUAUUUGAAAA
Molecule: long non-coding RNA, 674 nt
Organism: Homo sapiens (human)
Lineage: Eukaryota; Metazoa; Chordata; Mammalia; Primates; Hominidae
Source: Ensembl